GCUUUAAGCAACCAAAGACAGGUACAAGCCUGUUAAAUGCAGAGUGGAGA
This 50-nucleotide non-coding RNA is filed under the name unclassified sequences. The record is from RNAcentral.